AAGGAAUAUUGCUCAAUGGGAGAAAUCCUGAAGCAGCAACGCCGCGUGGAGGAUGAAGGGUCUAUGACUUGUAAACUCCUGUAAAGAAGGAAAAAAUUCCCAUUAGAUGGGAGAUGAUGGUACUUCUGGAGUAAGCCCCGGCUAACUACGUGCCAGCAGCCGCGGUAAUACGUAGGGGGCAAGCGUUGUCCGGAUUUACUGGGUGUAAAGGGUGCUCAGGCGGAUUUGUAAGUCAGAGGUGAAAUCUUACAGCUUAACUGUGAAACUGCCUUUGAUACUGCAAGCCUAGAGUAUGGAAGAGNGUGAUGGAAUAUCUGGUGUAGCAGUGAAAUGCGUAGAUAUCAGAUAGAACACCAAUGGCGAAGGCAGUCACUUGGUCCAUUACUGACGCUAAAGCACGAAAGCGUGGGUAGCAAACA
This 419-nucleotide ribosomal RNA is filed under the name uncultured bacterium. RNAcentral's name for it is "bacterial SSU rRNA". It matches the Rfam family "Bacterial small subunit ribosomal RNA", at positions 356 to 774 of the family's 1533-position model. The record is from RNAcentral.